CCAGCACGGACCGCCGAGAUUGGGCUCUC
RNAcentral lists this small RNA (29 nucleotides) under Bombyx mori (domestic silkworm). RNAcentral's name for it is "ovarian small RNA-13567". The record is from RNAcentral. Lineage: Eukaryota; Metazoa; Arthropoda; Insecta; Lepidoptera; Bombycidae.